This 368-nucleotide ribosomal RNA is filed under the name uncultured organism. Its description in RNAcentral is "bacterial SSU rRNA". It matches the Rfam family "Bacterial small subunit ribosomal RNA", at positions 526 to 896 of the family's 1533-position model. The record is from RNAcentral.
CGGAGGGUGCAAGCGUUAUCCGGAUUCACUGGGUUUAAAGGGUGCGUAGGUGGGCAAGUAAGUCAGUGGUGAAAUCUCCGGGCUUAACCCGGAAACUGCCAUUGAUACUAUUUGUCUUGAAUACUGUGGAGGUCAGCGGAAUAUGUCAUGUAGCGGUGAAAUGCUUAGAUAUGACAUAGAACACCAAUUGCGAAGGCAGCUGGCUACACAAAUAUUGACACUGAGGCACGAAAGCGUGGGGAUCAAACAGGAUUAGAUACCCUGGUAGUCCACGCCCUAAACUAUGAAUACUCGACAUUUGCGAUAAACUGCAAGUGUCUGAGCGAAAGCAUUAAGUAUCCCACCUGGGAAGUACGAUCGCAAGAUUG